This 313-nucleotide long non-coding RNA is filed under the name Carica papaya (papaya). RNAcentral's name for it is "long non-coding RNA (CPAP_LNC012902)". The record is from RNAcentral. Lineage: Eukaryota; Viridiplantae; Streptophyta; Magnoliopsida; Brassicales; Caricaceae.
UGAAGUUUAUGUUUUUUUCUUUUGCUUUAUAUGAAUUGUGUCUGCUUUAAAAAGUAUACAUAGAAAGAUCAGAUGAGAUAAUCAAAACUGGUUUCAGACUUUGUCUUUUCUCUGCAGCUAAUUGGUUGUCACGGUGCCAAGGGAUAAGAACACUAAUAAAGAAGAUUAAUAGACACCAAUCUAAAUUGACUGUAGAUAGAUGUGUUGCUCUGCCAGCAGUCACAAUAAAGAACACUAAUACAGACAUAAAGGAUCUAUUUUAGAGUUACUCUCAGGUUUGAGAAAAAUAGAAUUAAAAGUUUUAAGAGAAAAA